UACGUAGGGUGCGAGCGUUGUCCGGAAUUAUUGGGCGUAAAGGGCUCGUAGGCGGUUUGUCGCGUCGGGAGUGAAAACACCGGGCUUAACUCGGUGCUUGCUUUCGAUACGGGCAGACUAGAGGCAUGCAGGGGAGAACGGAAUUCCUGGUGUAGCGGUGAAAUGCGCAGAUAUCAGGAGGAACACCGGUGGCGAAGGCGGUUCUCUGGGGUAUUGCUGACGCUGAGGCACGAAAGCCAGGGGAGCGAACGGG
This 253-nucleotide ribosomal RNA is filed under the name uncultured bacterium. Its description in RNAcentral is "partial 16S ribosomal RNA". It matches the Rfam family "Bacterial small subunit ribosomal RNA", at positions 524 to 776 of the family's 1533-position model. The record is from RNAcentral.